UAUCUCCUCCUCUCUCUCAUCUCUAUCUCUAUCUCUCUCCCCACUUCCUGAAAUCAGUCGAUUUCGAUUCCAAAAUGUCGUGAUUGAUCUCUUCUCCUGGGAUGAUCUCGUCGUCGUCGUCUUUGAUCGUCUCGAGGGAUAGGGAUUGGGUUCGAUCGCCUCACCGUGUACGUCACCGUCUUCUCCUCCUCGCCGCCGUCCUUGUUCUGAUCCAAAAGCUCCUUCACCGGAACGCUAAUCUCUCCGACGGGCUUAUCGCCGACUAUGGGACGAUCAGCCACGAUCUCGAUGACUAAGAUGAGGCUUUAACUUAAACCGAGCCUUCACAUGGAGGUAGAGGGAGAAGAUGAGUUCAGGGAAUAGUAUGUUUGCCCCUUCUGCUCAGACUAUUUUGAUAUCGUCUCUCUCUGCUGCCACAUAGACGAAGAUCAUCCCAUGGACACUAUCAAUGGGAUAACUUCUUGGGGUUUGAGGAGGUGGUCUUCUUAUUCCCUGGAGGAUGGCCGGAGUCUCGAGAGAUUGCCGGAUUCUAACAAGUGAGUACUCUUCUUCUCUUCUCCUCUCUUGCCGUAUGUUUUGUGUAUUGAAUGGUCUCCUUUGAAGAACAUAAUAUUGGCAAAAGUCUAAAUAUUUUGUUAUCAAGUGAAUACUAGUUUUACAUUAAUAUGAAGAAUAAUGAAACUACUUUUAGAUACCAAAUU
This is a long non-coding RNA of Brassica oleracea var. oleracea, 701 nucleotides long. RefSeq lists it as uncharacterized. Lineage: Eukaryota; Viridiplantae; Streptophyta; Magnoliopsida; Brassicales; Brassicaceae. The transcript is spliced from 3 exons. The record is from RefSeq and is a predicted model, not a curated record.